RNAcentral lists this ribosomal RNA (443 nucleotides) under uncultured bacterium. RNAcentral describes it as "partial 16S ribosomal RNA". It matches the Rfam family "Bacterial small subunit ribosomal RNA", at positions 338 to 795 of the family's 1533-position model. The record is from RNAcentral.
CCUACGGGAGGCAGCAGUGGGGAAUAUUGGACAAUGGGGGGAACCCUGAUCCAGCGACGCCGCGUGAGUGAAGAAGUAUUUCGGUAUGUAAAGCUCUAUCAGCAGGGAAGAAAGAAAUGACGGUACCUGACUAAGAAGCCCCGGCUAACUACGUGCCAGCAGCCGCGGUAAUACGUAGGGGGCAAGCGUUAUCCGGAAUUACUGGGUGUAAAGGGAGCGUAGACGGCAAUGCAAGUCCGGAGUGGAAUGCGGCAGCUCAACUGCCGAACUGCGCUGGAAACUGUAUGGCUUGAGUGCAGGGGGGGUAAGCGGAAUUCCUGGUGUAGCGGUGAAAUGCGUAGAUAUCAGGAGGAACACCGGUGGCGAAGGCGGCUUACUGGACUGUAACUGACGUUGAGGCUCGAAAGCGUGGGGAGCAAACAGGAUUAGAUACCCCUGUAGUC